This 232-nucleotide ribosomal RNA is filed under the name uncultured bacterium. Its description in RNAcentral is "partial 16S ribosomal RNA". It matches the Rfam family "Bacterial small subunit ribosomal RNA", at positions 99 to 334 of the family's 1533-position model. The record is from RNAcentral.
CGGACGGGUGAGUAAUGUCUGGGAAACUGCCUGAUGGAGGGGGGUAACUACUGGAAACGGUAGCUAAUACCGCAUAACGUCGCAAGACCAAAGAGGGGGACCUUAGGGCCUCUUGCCAUCGGAUGUGCCCAGAUGGGAUUAGCUAGUAGGUGGGGUAACGGCUCACCUAGGCGACGAUCCCUGGCUGGUCUGAGAGGAUGACCAGCCACACUGGAACUGAGACACGGUCCAG